RNAcentral lists this non-coding RNA (1096 nucleotides) under Brassica napus (rape). Its description in RNAcentral is "Eukaryotic large subunit ribosomal RNA". It matches the Rfam family "Eukaryotic large subunit ribosomal RNA", at positions 24 to 1390 of the family's 3401-position model. Lineage: Eukaryota; Viridiplantae; Streptophyta; Magnoliopsida; Brassicales; Brassicaceae. The record is from Rfam by way of RNAcentral.
CCCGCUGAGUUUAAGCAUAUCAAUAAGCGGAGGAAAAUAAACUAACAAGGAUUCCCUUAGUAACGGCGAGCGAACCGGGAAGAGCCCAACUUGAAAAUCGGACAUCUUUGGCGUUCGAAUUGUAGUUUGGAGAAGCGUCCUCAGCGACGGACCGGGCCCAAGUUCCCUGGAAAGGGGCACCAGAGAGGGUGAGGGCCCCGUUGUGCCCGGACACUGUCGCACCACGAGGCAUUGUCUAUGAGUCGGGUUGUUUGGGAAAGCAGCCCCAAUCGGGCUGUAAAUUCCGUUCAAGGCUAAAUAUGGGCGAGAGACCGAUAGCGAACAAGUACCGCGAGGUAAAGAUGAAAAGGACUUUGAAAAGAGAGUCAAAGAGUGCUUGAAAUUGUCGGGAGGGAAGCGGAUGGGGGCCGGCGAUUCGUCCCGGUCGGAUGCGGAACGGAGCAAUCUAGUCUGCCGAUCAAUUCGGCCCGUGGACCGACGUGGAUUAAGGUGGUGACCUAAGCCUGGGCUUUUGUUACGCCCGCGGCGACGUCGCUGCCUUAAUCGUGGUCUGCAGCACGCCCCUCCCAGCGUGGCUCGGCAUCUGCAUGCUCAGGGCGUCGGCCUGUGGGAUCCCCAUUCGACCCGUCUUGAAACACGGACCAAGGAGUCUGACAUGUGUGCGAGUCAACGGGUGAGUAAACCCAUAAGGGGCAAGGAAGCUGAUUGGCUGGAUCCCUCACAGGUGCACAGCCGACCGAUCUUGAUCUUCUGAGAAGGGUUCGAGUGUGAGCAUGCUUGUCGGGACUCGAAAGAUGGUGAACUAUGCCUGAGCGGGGCGAAGCCAGAGGAAACUCUGGUGGAGGCCCUCAGCGAUACUAAUGUGCAAAUCGUUCAUCUGACUUGGGUAUAGGGGCAAAAGACUAAUCGAACCAUCUCUACCGAUACCUAUUUCAUCAUCUUCAGACUCCUCGCCGCCAUCUACUCCGGCACCACUUCCGACUCCUAGCUUUGAGGCUACACCUUCAGGCUCUAGCUUUGAGACUGACCCAUCUGAAAGGUCAUAUGAUCAGACAGCGGAGCACAUUCCUUUGCCUCCAGACCCGUACUUUAUGGA